AGAGAAGCGGACCUGCCCACAGCAGCAGAACCGUGGUGAUGAUGAGCAGCUCUCCAGUCUGCAGCACUCCAGCCGGAUAAUGGUCGCUCCUUUCCAGCGUCCUGAAGUGGAUGGCCCGGCUGGGUUGACUGUCGCCCUGGAGUCCAACAGACUGCACCUGAACCCAACACAGAUAAGACUGAAGGAAGUUUAACUGCAGCAUGGGUGCCUCCUCGCUGGGAGGUGUGUUCGGUUUGCCUGCGGGGAUGUCAUCUUGGACUUCUGCAGGACAGGGGGGCUCUGCACAAUGUGGAGAGUCCAUUCCGGUCUAGCCGUGUCAUGAUGGUCUCUACGGCUGCAUCGUCUGUGGUUGCGGGCUGUGGCACCUUUCGGUGUGGAUAGCUUUCCUCAACUGGUUCCUCAAUGCCAUUCCAUGUCUCUAUAUUAUUAAACAAUAUAUGUUGUGUGUGUGCUAGUAUCUUUUUUGCAGGUGUGUUCGUCUGGGUGUGUUUUGCAUUUACAUGCAGGGAUGGAAGGGGUGAGUUCUUAUAUAUUUGUGGGUAUUUUAAUCGUCAGCUUUUA
Molecule: long non-coding RNA, 561 nt
Organism: Phycodurus eques (leafy seadragon)
Lineage: Eukaryota; Metazoa; Chordata; Actinopteri; Syngnathiformes; Syngnathidae
Exons: 3
Source: RefSeq, a predicted model, not a curated record